RNAcentral lists this transfer RNA (103 nucleotides) under Candidatus Nitrosocaldaceae archaeon. RNAcentral describes it as "tRNA-Leu". It matches the Rfam family "tRNA". From Rfam's summary of the family: Transfer RNA (tRNA) molecules are approximately 80 nucleotides in length. Their secondary structure includes four short double-helical elements and three loops (D, anti-codon, and T loops). The record is from RNAcentral. Lineage: Archaea; Thermoproteati; Nitrososphaerota; Nitrososphaeria; Candidatus Nitrosocaldales; Candidatus Nitrosocaldaceae.
GCGGGGGUCGCCAAGCCUGGCCAACGGCGCAGGGCUUAGGUUAUUUCUAAUAUGAGAUACCCUGUCCCUUAGGGGUUCGUGGGUUCAAAUCCCACCCCCCGCA